This 790-nucleotide long non-coding RNA is filed under the name Salmo salar (Atlantic salmon). RNAcentral describes it as "lncRNA (ENSSSAG00000106704.1)". Lineage: Eukaryota; Metazoa; Chordata; Actinopteri; Salmoniformes; Salmonidae. The record is from RNAcentral.
UGAAAGAAUACCAUGCUAUUGUUUGAGGAGAGUGCACAGUUAUGUACUUGAAAAUGUAUCAAUAAACCAAUUAGACACAUUUGGGCAGACUUGAGACAACAUUAUGAACAGUAAUUCUGUGGUUCAUUGGAUCCGUCUAAAACUUUGCACAUACACUGCUGCCAUCUAGUGGCCAUAAUCUAAAUUGCACCUAAACUGCAAUAAUACAUUAUGGCCUUUCUCUUGUAUUUCAAAGAUUAAAAAAUAAAAAUAAAACACGUUUUUUCAUUGUAUUAUCUUUUACCAGAUCUAAGGUGUUCUAUUCUCCUACAUUAAUUUCACAUUUCCACACACUUCAAAAGGGUUUCCUUUCAAAUGGUAUCAAGAAUAUACAUAUUGUCACAGUAUCCACCGAGGAUGGCGCCCCUCCUCAGUCGGGCGGCGCUCCGCGGUCGUCGUCGCCGGUCUACUAGCUACCACCGAUCUAUGUUUCUGUGUUCUUUGGUUUUUGUCUGCUCUAGCCCGCACCUGUCUCUUGUCUGUCAUUAGUGGGGAGGUAUUUAGUUUGUUUCUUUGGGUUCGUCUUUGUGCGGGAUUGUUUGUUUGUCAGCGGGCAGGUCUGUGUACGUUCUGUGCUUUUUGCACAUUUUUCCCCAGCGGAUUCUCGCUGGAUGAAUAUUGCAUUUGCCGGGCUGCGCCCCGUGAGUAUUUUUGUUUACUGUGUUCCCGUGUGGUCUCUGGACGCACCCUAUGCCCUUUUGUUACGCCGAGUGGUUUUUCGGUGCAAUAAAUAUAUCAUUCUAUGACACUA